Molecule: ribosomal RNA, 255 nt
Filed under: uncultured bacterium
Lineage: Bacteria
Description: partial 16S ribosomal RNA
Rfam family: Bacterial small subunit ribosomal RNA
Source: RNAcentral
CGUAGGGGCGAAGCGUUAUCCGGAUUUACUGGGUGUAAAGGGAGCGUAGACGGAAUGGCAAGUCUGAUGUGAAAGGCCGGGGCGUCAACCCCGGGACUGCAUUGGAAACUGUCAAUCUAGAGUACCGGAGGGGUAAGUGGAAUUCCUAGUGUAGCGGUGAAAUGCGUAGAUAUUAGGAGGAACACCAGUGGCGAAGGCGGCUUACUGGACGGUAACUGACGUUGAGGCUCGAAAGCGUGGGGAGCAAACAGGAUU